Molecule: ribosomal RNA, 459 nt
Filed under: uncultured bacterium
Lineage: Bacteria
Description: partial 16S ribosomal RNA
Rfam family: Bacterial small subunit ribosomal RNA
Source: RNAcentral
CCUACGGGGGGCAGCAGUGAGGAAUAUUGGUCAAUGGUCGGGAGACUGAACCAGCCAAGCCGCGUGAGGGAUGAAGGUACAGAGUAUCGUAAACCUCUUUUGUCAGGGAACAAAGGCGGGGACGCGUCCCCGGAUGAGUGUACCUGAAGAAAAAGCAUCGGCUAACUCCGUGCCAGCAGCCGCGGUAAUACGGAGGAUGCGAGCGUUAUCCGGAUUUAUCGGGUUUAAAGGGUGCGCAGGCGGUCUGUUAAGUCAGCGGUCAAAGCCCGGGGCUCAACCCCGGCCCGCCGUUGAAACUGGCAGUCUCGAGUUGGAGAGAAGUAUGCGGAAGGCGCGGUGUAGCGGUGAAAUGCAUAGAUAUCGCGCAGAACUCCGAUUGCGAAGGCAGCAUGCCGGCUCCACACUGACGCUGAGGCACGAAAGCGUGGGUAUCGAACAGGAUUAGAUACCCUGGUAGUC